Molecule: ribosomal RNA, 775 nt
Filed under: Pleurothallis josephensis
Lineage: Eukaryota; Viridiplantae; Streptophyta; Magnoliopsida; Asparagales; Orchidaceae
Description: eukaryotic LSU rRNA
Rfam family: 5.8S ribosomal RNA (bases 313-468)
Source: RNAcentral
GCGAGAAGUCCAUUGAACCUUAUCAUUUAGAGGAAGGAGAAGUCGUAACAAGGUUUCCGUAGGUGAACCUGCGGAAGGAUCAUUGUCGAGACCGGAACAUAUCGAGCGAUUCGGAGAACCCGUGAACGAGCGGCGGCACCUGCCGUCGUGUAACAGCCGUCCCGGUCGUCGACCUCGUCUCGGGCGGGGGACACGAUGCGGGGUGGAUGAAACUCAAACCGGCGCAGCUACGCGCCAAGGGAAUAUAAAGAGACGAGCCCCGCAUAGGGUUCGGUGGCGUGGAGUGCUGUUGCACACCACACGGAUCGAAACGACUCUCGGCAAUGGAUAUCUCGGCUCUCGCAUCGAUGAAGAGCGCAGCGAAAUGCGAUACGUGGUGCGAAUUGCAGAAUCCCGCGAACCAUCGAGAAUUUGAACGCAAGUUGCGCCCGAGGCCAGCUGGCCAAGGGCACGUCCGCCUGGGCGUCAAGCGUUGCGUCGCUCCGUGCCAACUCCAUCCCCCACCCGAUGGGUGGUGCAUGCGGGGGGGCUCGGAUGUGCAGAGUGGCUCGUCGUGCCCGUCGGCGCGGCGGGCUGAAGAGCGGGUGAUCGUCUCAUUGGCCACGAACAGCAAGGGGUGGAUGAAAGUUGUGCCUGUGCUGUAUCGUGUCGGCCUGAGAAAGAUUAUACCUCACGGAUGAUCCCGUCCCAAGCGUCGUCGAUCCACCGAUGGCGGCUUGGAAUGCGACCCCAGGAUGGGCGAGGCCACCCGCUGAGUUUAAGCAUAUCAAUAAGC